UGUGAGGUUAAGCGACUAAGCGUACACGGUGGAUGCCCUGGCAGUCAGAGGCGAUGAAGGACGUGCUAAUCUGCGAUAAGCGUCGGUAAGGUGAUAUGAACCGUUAUAACCGGCGAUUUCCGAAUGGGGAAACCCAGUGUGUUUCGACACACUAUCAUUAACUGAAUCCAUAGGUUAAUGAGGCGAACCGGGGGAACUGAAACAUCUAAGUACCCCGAGGAAAAGAAAUCAACCGAGAUUCCCCCAGUAGCGGCGAGCGAACGGGGAGGAGCCCAGAGCCUGAAUCAGUGUGUGUGUUAGUGGAAGCGUCUGGAAAGGCGCGCGAUACAGGGUGACAGCCCCGUACACAAAAAUGCACAUGCUGUGAGCUCGAUGAGUAGGGCGGGACACGUGGUAUCCUGUCUGAAUAUGGGGGGACCAUCCUCCAAGGCUAAAUACUCCUGACUGACCGAUAGUGAACCAGUACCGUGAGGGAAAGGCGAAAAGAACCCCGGCGAGGGGAGUGAAAAAGAACCUGAAACCGUGUACGUACAAGCAGUGGGAGCACGCUUAGGCGUGUGACUGCGUACCUUUUGUAUAAUGGGUCAGCGACUUAUAUUCUGUAGCAAGGUUAACCGAAUAGGGGAGCCGAAGGGAAACCGAGUCUUAACUGGGCGUUAAGUUGCAGGGUAUAGACCCGAAACCCGGUGAUCUAGCCAUGGGCAGGUUGAAGGUUGGGUAACACUAACUGGAGGACCGAACCGACUAAUGUUGAAAAAUUAGCGGAUGACUUGUGGCUGGGGGUGAAAGGCCAAUCAAACCGGGAGAUAGCUGGUUCUCCCCGAAAGCUAUUUAGGUAGCGCCUCGUGAAUUCAUCUCCGGGGGUAGAGCACUGUUUCGGCAAGGGGGUCAUCCCGACUUACCAACCCGAUGCAAACUGCGAAUACCGGAGAAUGUUAUCACGGGAGACACACGGCGGGUGCUAACGUCCGUCGUGAAGAGGGAAACAACCCAGACCGCCAGCUAAGGUCCCAAAGUCAUGGUUAAGUGGGAAACGAUGUGGGAAGGCCCAGACAGCCAGGAUGUUGGCUUAGAAGCAGCCAUCAUUUAAAGAAAGCGUAAUAGCUCACUGGUCGAGUCGGCCUGCGCGGAAGAUGUAACGGGGCUAAACCAUGCACCGAAGCUGCGGCAGCGACGCUGAUGCGUUGUUGGGUAGGGGAGCGUUCUGUAAGCCUGUGAAGGUGUGCUGUGAGGCAUGCUGGAGGUAUCAGAAGUGCGAAUGCUGACAUAAGUAACGAUAAAGCGGGUGAAAAGCCCGCUCGCCGGAAGACCAAGGGUUCCUGUCCAACGUUAAUCGGGGCAGGGUGAGUCGACCCCUAAGGCGAGGCCGAAAGGCGUAGUCGAUGGGAAACAGGUUAAUAUUCCUGUACUUGGUGUUACUGCGAAGGGGGGACGGAGAAGGCUAUGUUGGCCGGGCGACGGUUGUCCCGGUUUAAGCGUGUAGGCUGGUUUUCCAGGCAAAUCCGGAAAAUCAAGGCUGAGGCGUGAUGACGAGGCACUACGGUGCUGAAGCAACAAAUGCCCUGCUUCCAGGAAAAGCCUCUAAGCAUCAGGUAACAUCAAAUCGUACCCCAAACCGACACAGGUGGUCAGGUAGAGAAUACCAAGGCGCUUGAGAGAACUCGGGUGAAGGAACUAGGCAAAAUGGUGCCGUAACUUCGGGAGAAGGCACGCUGAUAUGUAGGUGAAGUCCCUCGCGGAUGGAGCUGAAAUCAGUCGAAGAUACCAGCUGGCUGCAACUGUUUAUUAAAAACACAGCACUGUGCAAACACGAAAGUGGACGUAUACGGUGUGACGCCUGCCCGGUGCCGGAAGGUUAAUUGAUGGGGUCAGCGCAAGCGAAGCUCUUGAUCGAAGCCCCGGUAAACGGCGGCCGUAACUAUAACGGUCCUAAGGUAGCGAAAUUCCUUGUCGGGUAAGUUCCGACCUGCACGAAUGGCGUAAUGAUGGCCAGGCUGUCUCCACCCGAGACUCAGUGAAAUUGAACUCGCUGUGAAGAUGCAGUGUACCCGCGGCAAGACGGAAAGACCCCGUGAACCUUUACUAUAGCUUGACACUGAACAUUGAGCCUUGAUGUGUAGGAUAGGUGGGAGGCUUAGAAGUGUGGACGCCAGUCUGCAUGGAGCCGACCUUGAAAUACCACCCUUUAAUGUUUGAUGUUCUAACGUUGACCCGUAAUCCGGGUUGCGGACAGUGUCUGGUGGGUAGUUUGACUGGGGCGGUCUCCUCCUAAAGAGUAACGGAGGAGCACGAAGGUUGGCUAAUCCUGGUCGGACAUCAGGAGGUUAGUGCAAUGGCAUAAGCCAGCUUGACUGCGAGCGUGACGGCGCGAGCAGGUGCGAAAGCAGGUCAUAGUGAUCCGGUGGUUCUGAAUGGAAGGGCCAUCGCUCAACGGAUAAAAGGUACUCCGGGGAUAACAGGCUGAUACCGCCCAAGAGUUCAUAUCGACGGCGGUGUUUGGCACCUCGAUGUCGGCUCAUCACAUCCUGGGGCUGAAGUAGGUCCCAAGGGUAUGGCUGUUCGCCAUUUAAAGUGGUACGCGAGCUGGGUUUAGAACGUCGUGAGACAGUUCGGUCCCUAUCUGCCGUGGGCGCUGGAGAACUGAGGGGGGCUGCUCCUAGUACGAGAGGACCGGAGUGGACGCAUCACUGGUGUUCGGGUUGUCAUGCCAAUGGCACUGCCCGGUAGCUAAAUGCGGAAGAGAUAAGUGCUGAAAGCAUCUAAGCACGAAACUUGCCCCGAGAUGAGUUCUCCCUGACUCCUUGAGAGUCCUGAAGGAACGUUGAAGACGACGACGUUGAUAGGCCGGGUGUGUAAGCGCAGCGAUGCGUUGAGCUAACCGGUACUAAUGAACCGUGAGGCUUAACCUUACAACGCCGAAGCUGUU
Molecule: ribosomal RNA, 2926 nt
Filed under: Escherichia coli
Lineage: Bacteria; Pseudomonadati; Pseudomonadota; Gammaproteobacteria; Enterobacterales; Enterobacteriaceae
Description: partial 23S ribosomal RNA
Rfam family: Bacterial large subunit ribosomal RNA
Source: RNAcentral